AGCUCUGAUUUCCCCUCAUCUUGCUUCCACUGCCCCAGCAGAGCCCUCUGCCCGCUAGCAGGUGUUGCUGGCUCUCCCCUUGGCAUUAUGAAUCCUCAUGGGGCAGGGGCUCUGCUGCGGUCCUCCCGGGUCCCCAGUGUCUGGCACAGAACGAGUGCCCAGCAGACACUGGAAUGACUGUGGAAAGGCAGGAUGAGGGCCUGGCACCUGCGCCUUCCUCCAGAGCGUCUCCCCUCCUGACGUGGAUCCCAGUGCGGGCUGGGCACGGAGGAGCCCAAAUGUUCUCUGUGGGCUCCCUGUUGCCCCCCUGCCUCCCUCCUGACUUGUUUGAGCCUCCCUGGGUUGGGAGAAGGACCUGGGGAGCCACAGGGAGGACCUGGGCAGCCUGUCUCCUCACCCCCUCCUGCUGGCUGCUUAGACGGGAAGUACGACAAGGGCAGGAUUUUAUCUGAGUCAUUCGCUAAUGUGUCCCGAGUGUCAGGAACAGUGUCUGGCACAGAGAGGUCACUCAGUCAACAUUUGCAUGAAUGAAUGCUGCAAAGCGCUGGAAGUGGCUUUCUAUGGGGCAUCGAAAUACCUGGAACCUGACAGUAACAUAGGAGCUUUUUUUUUUUAUUGCCUUUUUGCCAUUUUGCCUUUUCUAGGGCCAUUCCUGUGGCAUAUGGAGGUUCCCAGGCUAGGGCUGCCGGCCUACACCACAGCCAGAGCAACACGGGAUCCGAGCCACAUCUGCGACCUACACCACAGCUCACGGCAACACUGGAUCCUUAACUCACCCUGAGUGAGGCCAGGGAUCAAACCUGUGUCCUCACGGAUGCUAGUUAGGUUCAUUAUUGCUGAGCCACAGUGGGAGCUCCUCCGAGAUGGUUUAUUUUUUCAAUGUGUUCCUGUUUCUUUUUUUCCCCCAUAUUAGAAAAUUUUAUUGAAGUCGAGCUGAUUUACAAAUUGUGGUCAUUUCUGCUGUACAGCAAAGUGAUUCAGUUACACAUAGACACACAUCCAUUCUUUUUCAGAUUCUUUUCCCAUCUAGAUUAUCACAGAAUAUUGAUUGCGUAGAGUUCCCUGUGCUGACAGCAGGUCCCCACUGGCCAGGCAUUCAGUGUACAGUGUACAUGUGCCCAUCUCAAAUCCCCAGUUCACCCUUUCCCCCACCCCACCUGUCUCCUUUGGUCACCAUAAGUUUGUUUAAAGUCUGUGAGUCUGUUCUGCAAUAAAUUCAUUUUUAUCUUUUUUUUUAGAUUCCACAUAUAAGUGAUGUCAUGUGAUGUUUGUUUUUCACUGUCUAACUUCACUUAGUAUCUCUAGGUCCCAUCCAUGUUGCUGCAAAUGGCAUUAUUUUAUUCCUUUUUAUGGCUGAGUAAUAUUCCAUUUUGGGUGUACUUGGGUACCACAUUCUUUAUACAGCAUACAUACAGGUCUUGUUUUUGUAUCCAUUCAGCCAGCCUAUGUCAUUUGGUUGGAGCAUUUAGUCCAUUUACAUUUAAGGUAGUUAUUGAUAUGUAUGUUCUUAUUGCCUUUGGUUAAUUAUUUUGGAUUUGUUUUUGUCGAUUUUCUCUGGCCCUUUAUCGCUUGGCCUUUAUUCUUCCCUUUUGUUCUCUUGUGGUUUGAUGACUAUCUUCAGUGUUGUGUUUGAAUUGCAUCUAUUGUAGAUUUUUGGUUUGUGGUAACCGUGAGGUUUUGAUGUAGGAGUCUGUAUGUACACACAAGAUUGCUUUAAGUUGCUGGUCUCUUAAUUGCAAAUAGCUGGGGAGAUAUGAAUAAGGAUAAUAAGUAUAGCUAACAUUUCAGACAGCUACGGCUUUUCCAAGCCGGUUUUUUUUUUUUUUUUUCCUAUAAUCUCUCCUGCAGCCGAAUGGACUGCGUGCCCUUAAUAGUCGUGGCUUUUGUGCCUCAUUAUUCCUGGAUUGCCAGCGCUCAUUGGUCCUGUACUGAACACAGCCCCCACCCUGAGCGCUUAGCGUCAGAGCAAUACCGACAACACAAAACAAACACAGAAGAAACAAACCCUGUUGGACGCCUAGGGCUCUCAGAGGUUAGCUGGGUCGAGCUCCCCCAGCUAAGAAGGAUCUUACCCGGGUUAAGAUCUAUGCUUCUCACCUUCACCGUAGAUGCCCUUCACACCACGGGUGUUGGUGGAACACCUGCUGCUAUCCCCCUGGAUGGGGCUGGGACGUUGUGAGACCCGCAAAGCCCAUCCGACAUUCAGGACCUCCCAGCCUCGUAAGGAGGCGUGUGGGUUUCCUAAGGCCACUGUUCAAACGACCACACACUUCGUGGUUUCAAAGAACACAGCUUUAUCAUCUGACAUUCUGGUGGUCAGACAUCUGAUGCGGCCUCACUGCCCAGGGACUUACAGGGCUCUGUUCCUUCUAGAGGCUCCAGGAGAAAAUCUGUGGUCUGGCCUUUUUCAGCUUCUAGAAGCCCCUGUGCUUCUUGGCUCCUGGUCCCUUCCUUCGUUCUCAAAGCCCGCAGCAUCUCGGAGUUCCCACUGUGGCUCAGCAGGUUAAGAACCUGACACAGUGUCCGUGAGGAGGCGUUUCGAUCCCUGGUCUUGCUCAGUGGGUUAAGGGUCCGGUGUUGCCCCAAGCUACGGCGUAGGUCACAGAGGCAACUCAAAUCCUGGGUGGCUGUGGCUGUGGCUGGGGUGUAGGCCAGCAGCUGCAGCUCUGAUUUGACCCCUAGCC
Molecule: long non-coding RNA, 2684 nt
Filed under: Sus scrofa (pig)
Lineage: Eukaryota; Metazoa; Chordata; Mammalia; Artiodactyla; Suidae
Description: lncRNA (ENSSSCG00005042885.1)
Source: RNAcentral